CCUCAAAUUGAAAGCCCAAAUCUGCUCUAAAACGAAAUCUAAACAUAGAUUAGUGAUCCUCAUCACGAAAGGAUUCUAAGGAAAAGAAGCCGGGGCAUCUAGUGGACAAACCGGUGUGGACGCUCGUUUGAAGGGCUCGCUUUGAAAGGUGAUUAGAAGUCAAGGAUGCGAUCAAGCGACAAGAUGAAUGAACCGAACACUCCAUUUCGAAGCUUCCGC
Molecule: long non-coding RNA, 219 nt
Organism: Helianthus annuus (common sunflower)
Lineage: Eukaryota; Viridiplantae; Streptophyta; Magnoliopsida; Asterales; Asteraceae
Exons: 3
Source: RefSeq, a predicted model, not a curated record